RNAcentral lists this long non-coding RNA (203 nucleotides) under Elaeis guineensis (African oil palm). RNAcentral describes it as "long non-coding RNA (EGUI_LNC041712)". The record is from RNAcentral. Lineage: Eukaryota; Viridiplantae; Streptophyta; Magnoliopsida; Arecales; Arecaceae.
GUCUGACCCAUGUCAAAUGACAACAAAUAGACAAGUUAGAGACAAGAUCCAUAAGAUCUCAUUUCAUAGGGCAUCUAAAAGAAUCUUUAGGAUAUUGCUUUUAGUUCCUAGAGGAUCACAAUGUGAUUGUGAGCUGAUAUACUAUCUUUUGAAAAAAUAGUUUAUCUAAGAUAGAAGUCGUAAGAGAUAGAUUGGGCUUGAGG